Molecule: ribosomal RNA, 253 nt
Filed under: uncultured bacterium
Lineage: Bacteria
Description: partial 16S ribosomal RNA
Rfam family: Bacterial small subunit ribosomal RNA
Source: RNAcentral
UACGUGGGGGGCGAACGUUGUUCGGUGUCAUUGGGCGUAAAGGGUGCGUAGGCGGCGCUGUAAGUCGGGUGUGAAAUUUCGGAGCUUAACUCCGAAACUGCAUUCGAUACUGCGGUGCUUGAGGACUGGAGAGGAGACUGGAAUUCAUGGUGUAGCAGUGAAAUGCGUAGAGAUCAUGAGGAAGACCAGUGGCGAAGGCGGGUCUCUGGACAGUUCCUGACACUGAGGCACGAAGGCCAGGGGAGCAAACGGG